ACUAUGCUUAGCCGUAAACAUUGAUAGUACAGUACAUCUACUAUCCGCCCGGGUACUACGAGCACCAGCUUAAAACCCAAAGGACUUGGCGGUGCUUUAGAUCCA
RNAcentral lists this ribosomal RNA (105 nucleotides) under Labrus bergylta (ballan wrasse). Its description in RNAcentral is "partial 12S ribosomal RNA". The record is from RNAcentral. Lineage: Eukaryota; Metazoa; Chordata; Actinopteri; Labriformes; Labridae.